This 253-nucleotide ribosomal RNA is filed under the name uncultured bacterium. RNAcentral's name for it is "partial 16S ribosomal RNA". It matches the Rfam family "Bacterial small subunit ribosomal RNA", at positions 524 to 776 of the family's 1533-position model. The record is from RNAcentral.
UACGUAGGGUGCGAGCGUUGUCCGGAAUUAUUGGGCGUAAAGAGCUCGUAGGCGGUUUGUUGCGUCGGCCGUGAAAACUCAGGGCUUAACUCUGAGCCUGCGGUCGAUACGGGCAGACUUGAGUUCGGUAGGGGAGACUGGAAUUCCUGGUGUAGCGGUGAAAUGCGCAGAUAUCGGGAGGAACACCAGUGGCGAAGGCGGCGAUCUGGGAAGAUACUGACGCUGAGGUGCGAAAGCGUGGGGAGCAAACAGG